ACUCCUACGGGAGGGCAGCAGUAGGGAAUCUUCCACAAUGGGCGCAAGCCUGAUGGAGCAACACCGCGUGAGUGAAGAAGGGUUUCGGCUCGUAAAGCUCUGUUGUUAAAGAAGAACACGUAUGAGAGUAACUGUUCAUACGUUGACGGUAUUUAACCAGAAAGUCACGGCUAACUACGUGCCAGCAGCCGCGGUAAUACGUAGGUGGCAAGCGUUAUCCGGAUUUAUUGGGCGUAAAGAGAGUGCAGGCGGUUUCCUAAGUCUGAUGUGAAAGCCUUCGGCUUAACCGGAGAAGUGCAUCGGAAACUGGAUAACUUGAGUGCAGAAGAGGGUAGUGGAACUCCAUGUGUAGCGGUGGAAUGCGUAGAUAUAUGGAAGAACACCAGUGGCGAAGGCGGCUACCUGGUCUGCAACUGACGCUGAGACUCGAAAGCAUGGGUAGCGAACAGGAUUAGAUACCCUGGUAGGAUAGCG
This 474-nucleotide ribosomal RNA is filed under the name uncultured bacterium. Its description in RNAcentral is "bacterial SSU rRNA". It matches the Rfam family "Bacterial small subunit ribosomal RNA", at positions 335 to 801 of the family's 1533-position model. The record is from RNAcentral.